AUAGCCGCUUGUUCUCCGCCCUCGGUGGAACAGCUGCGUAACGGUUCACUCACUGAUGGCGCCUGGAGGUUUGGCGAAAUACUGACAGGAUGCGACGUCAACGGGAGCGCAGGGCCAAGAUACCCUUUAUAUCAAACCGUCUAUCCUGGAGCAGAAAAAUCCUGUCUUCAUUGCUAUAGCUACAGAUUCAGAAAUGAGCAUGUAACAAAUUCAGGCCAAAGAGAGGCAAUGGAAAUCAGAGAAACACUGUUCCUGAAAGCUUCUGUCACUCAAGAAUCCAUGAAACAUUCAUGAACUUCACAUCAGAUUUUAAUGCAACUUGUUACACAAGAUGAUCCCAAACAUAUUUGACUUUUAUUUUCAGAAAAGCUUAAUACAUAGUUUUGAAUAUGAAAUAAAAUCCAGUGAGAUUCAACAAAUUGUCAAGUUACACACUUCUGAAUGACAGAUUUGGGACCAGAAUCUAGACCUCAGGUUGUCUUUGCAAAUGACAUAAUCCUGUAUCUAGAAAACUCCAUUGUAUCAGCCCAAAAGCUUCUUAAGCAACUUCAGCAAAGUCUCAGGAUACAAAAUCAAUGUGGAAAAUCGCAGGCAUUGCUGUACACCAACAACAGACAAGCAGAGAGCCAAAUCAUGAAUGAACUCCCAUUCACAAUUACUGCAAAGAGAAUAAGAUACCUAGGAAUACAGCUAGCAAGGGAAGUGAAGGACCUCUUCAAGGAGAACUACAAACUACUGCUUAGGAAAAUCAGAGAGGACACAAACAAAUGGAAAAAAAUUCCAUGCUCAUGGAUAGGAAGAAUCAAUAUCAUAAAAAUGGCCAUACUGACCAAAGUAAUUUAUAGAUUCAAUGCUAUUCCCAUAAAAUUACUGAUGCUUAGCACUUUUGAGUGACUAGAUCAACUAGCUUCAUUAAACAUGAUGUUUUUUGAAAACAUAUUAAGUGUGAGCAUUACUAGCAACAUAGUGGUAGAAAAGAAAAUUGAACCAAUGAAUGGCUAAUACUGAUAUAUUCAGUAGUAACAAUAAAACAAUAAAAGUGACUCUAUUUUAGCCCUUUGUUUUGCAGUGGAAAACACUGAAGUUGUGGCAUAUGAAAAAGGUGCUUUUCAAUUGCGACAAAAGCAAAAAUUGACAAAUGGGAUCUAAUUAAACUAAAUAGCUUCUGCACAGCAAAAGAAACUAUCAACCGAGUAAACAGACAACUUGCAGAAUGGGAGAUAAUUUUUGCAAACUAUACGUGUGACAAAGGUCUAAUAUCCAGCAGCUAUAAGGAACUUAAACAAAUUUACAAGAAAAAAGCAACCCCUAAAAAUGUGGGCAAAGGACAUGAACAGAUACUUUUCAAAAUAGACAUACAUGUGGCCAAAAAUCAUAUGAAAAAGAGCUCAAUAUCACUGAUCAUUAGAGAAAUGUAAAUUAAAACUGCAAUGAGACAUCAUCUCACACCAGUCAGAAUGGCUAUUAUUAAAAAGUUAAAAAAUAAUAGGUGCUGGCAAGUUGUUGAGAAAGAGGAAUGCUUAUUCAUCAUUGGUGGGAGUGUAAAUUAGUUUAGUCAUUGUGGAAGACAGUGUGGCAAUUCCUCAAAGACCUAAAGACAGAAAUACCAUUUGACCCAGCAGUCUUAUUACUGGGUAUAUACCUAAAGGAAUACAAUCAUUCUAUUAUAAAGACACAUGCCACAUAUAUGUUCCUUGCAGCACUAUACACAAUAGCAAAGUUAUGGAAUCAACCUAAAUGUCCAUCAAUGACAGACUAGAUAAAGAAAAUGUGGUACAUAUACACCAUGGAAUACUAUGCAGCCAUUAAGAACAAGAUUAUGUCCUGUGCCAAGAUAUGGAUGGAACUGGGGGACAUUAAUCUUAGAAAACUAACACAGAAAAAGAAAACCAAAUACUGCAUGUUCUCAUAAGUGGGAGCUAAAUCAUGAGAACACAUGGACACAUAGAGGGGAGUAACACACACUAGGUCCUUUUGGAGGGUGGAAGUUAGGAGCAGGGAGAGGGUCAGGAAAAAUAACUAAUGGGUACUAGCUUAAUACCUCAGUGAUUAAAUAAUCUGUACAACAAAACCCCGUGACACGAGUUAACCUAUGUAACAAACCUGCAUUUGUACCCCUAAACUUAAAAUAAAAGUUAAAAAAGGU
Molecule: non-coding RNA, 2146 nt
Filed under: Pan troglodytes (chimpanzee)
Lineage: Eukaryota; Metazoa; Chordata; Mammalia; Primates; Hominidae
Source: RNAcentral